Molecule: ribosomal RNA, 340 nt
Filed under: uncultured Pelotomaculum sp.
Lineage: Bacteria; Bacillati; Bacillota; Clostridia; Eubacteriales; Desulfotomaculaceae
Description: bacterial SSU rRNA
Rfam family: Bacterial small subunit ribosomal RNA
Source: RNAcentral
GCAUGGUUGUCGUCAGCUCGUGUCGUGAGAUGUUGAGUUAAGUCCCGCAACGAGCGCAACCCCUACGUUUAGUUGCUAACAGGUGAAGCUGAGCACUCUAGACGAACUGCCGUUGACAAAACGGAGGAAGGUGGGAUGACGUCAAAUCAUCAUGCCCCUUGUGUUCUGGGCUACACACGUGCUACAAUGGCCGGUACAGACGGAGGCGAAGCCGCGAGGCGGAGCAAAUCCGAAAAAGCCGGUCUCAGUUCGGAUUGCAGGCUGCAAUUCGCCUGCAUGAAGUCGGAAUCGCUAGUAAUCGCAGGUCAGCAUACUGCGGUCGAAUACGUUCCCGGGCCUU